GGGAAUUUCAAUGACCAUGAGUAUCCAGUGAAAGCUUUUUACACACAUAUAUAUAGUCAAGCCUAUAUAUAACUAUAUAAAACUAUAUAAAACUUGUCUCGAGUAAUAAUUAUUAAAAUAAAAUAUGCAUGCACUUAAUAACUAUAUAACUCACUCGAAGUUGAAGGGGAAGAGUAUUUUUUGUUUUUAUUUUUGGUUCACAAAGAACCUCAUAAGAUUGGUACAGACUUCUGUCUCAUGAGCUGCUGUCCACACUGCCUGCGGAGCCUUGAAAACAAUAUAAGGGUCAACGAAGCCAAUACUAUUGUCAUUUCUGAUUCUGAGCUCUCUCAUUUGGUGCCUGUAUAUAUACAUACAAAUUCUAAGUGUGU
RNAcentral lists this long non-coding RNA (371 nucleotides) under Sorghum bicolor (sorghum). RNAcentral's name for it is "long non-coding RNA (SBIC_LNC018023)". Lineage: Eukaryota; Viridiplantae; Streptophyta; Magnoliopsida; Poales; Poaceae. The record is from RNAcentral.